AGCAGUCGCCGCGGUAAUACGGAGGGAGCUAGCGUUGUUCGGAAUUACUGGGCGUAAAGCGCGCGUAGGCGGUUACUCAAGUCAGAGGUGAAAGCCCGGGGCUCAACCCCGGAACUGCCUUUGAAACUAGGUGACUAGAAUCUUGGAGAGGUCAGUGGAAUUCCGAGUGUAGAGGUGAAAUUCGUAGAUAUUCGGAAGAACACCAGUGGCGAAGGCGACUGACUGGACAAGUAUUGACGCUGAGGUGCGAAAGCGUGGGGAGCAAACAGGAUUAGAUACCCCUGUAGUCCCUGUCUCUUAUAC
Molecule: ribosomal RNA, 303 nt
Filed under: uncultured bacterium
Lineage: Bacteria
Description: partial 16S ribosomal RNA
Rfam family: Bacterial small subunit ribosomal RNA
Source: RNAcentral